RNAcentral lists this ribosomal RNA (658 nucleotides) under uncultured Planctomycetota bacterium. RNAcentral describes it as "bacterial SSU rRNA". It matches the Rfam family "Bacterial small subunit ribosomal RNA", at positions 58 to 722 of the family's 1533-position model. The record is from RNAcentral. Lineage: Bacteria; Pseudomonadati; Planctomycetota.
CAAGUCGAACGAAUCCCAUCUGGGUAACUGGGUGGGGGAAGUGGCGAAAGGGGCAGUAAGGCGUGGGCAACCUACCCCGGGGACGGGCAUAGCCGUCCUAACGGACGGGUAAUUCCUGGCGAUUCGGCGGAGGGGCAUCUCUCUGUCGGGAAAUGAGUUUCGCCUCGGGAGGGACUCACGUAGUAUUAGCUUGUUGGUGAGGUAACGGCUCACCAAGGCGAAGAUGCUUAGCGGGUGUGAGAGCACGACCCGCGCCACUGGCACUGCGACACUGGCCAGACUCCUACGGGAGGCUGCAGUCGAGGAUCUUCGGCAAUGGGCGCAAGCCUGACCGAGCGACGCCGCGUGUGCGAAGAAGGCCUUCGGGUUGUAAAGCACUGUCGAGGGGAAGAAAGCCGCAAGGUUGAUCGACCCCUGGAGGAAGCACGGGCUAAGUUCGUGCCAGCAGCCGCGGUAAGACGAACCGUGCGAACGUUGUUCGGAUUCACUGGGCUUAAAGGGCGCGUAGGCGGGUUGUCAAGUCGGUGGUGAAAUCUUUCGGCUCAACCGGAAGACGGCCUCCGAUACUGGCAGUCUUGAGGGGGGUAGGGGCAUGCGGAACUUCAGGUGGAGCGGUGAAAUGCCUAGAUAUCCCGAAGGAACGCCGGUGGCGAAAAGC